GGGUGAUUAGCUCAGUGGUAGAGCGCUUCGUUCACAUCGAAGAUGUCAGGGGUUCAAAUCCCUUAUCACCCACCA
Molecule: transfer RNA, 75 nt
Filed under: Paracoccus sp. (in: a-proteobacteria)
Lineage: Bacteria; Pseudomonadati; Pseudomonadota; Alphaproteobacteria; Rhodobacterales; Paracoccaceae
Also listed under: 140 other names
Description: tRNA-Val
Rfam family: tRNA
About the family: Transfer RNA (tRNA) molecules are approximately 80 nucleotides in length.
Source: RNAcentral